This 400-nucleotide ribosomal RNA is filed under the name uncultured bacterium. RNAcentral's name for it is "bacterial SSU rRNA". It matches the Rfam family "Bacterial small subunit ribosomal RNA", at positions 355 to 772 of the family's 1533-position model. The record is from RNAcentral.
UGGGGAAUAUUGGGCAAUGGGCGAAAGCCUGACCCAGCAAUGCCGCGUGGGUGAAGAAGGUCUUCGGAUUGUAAAGCCCUUUCGGCGGGGACGAUGAUGACGGUACCCGCAGAAGAAGCCCCGGCUAACUUCGUGCCAGCAGCCGCGGUAAUACGAAGGGGGCUAGCGUUGCUCGGAAUUACUGGGCGUAAAGGGCGCGUAGGCGGCGUGCCAAGUCGGGCGUGAAAUUCCUGGGCUCAACCUGGGGGCUGCGCUCGAGACUGGUGUGCUGGAGGGCAGGAGAGGCUCGUGGAAUUCCCAGUGUAGAGGUGAAAUUCGUAGAUAUUGGGAAGAACACCGGUGGCGAAGGCGGCGAGCUGGCCUGUUACUGACGCUGAGGCGCGACAGCGUGGGGAGCAAA